Serinus canaria (Common canary) is the source of this 2873-nucleotide long non-coding RNA. RefSeq lists it as uncharacterized. The record is from RefSeq and is a predicted model, not a curated record. The transcript has 3 exons. Lineage: Eukaryota; Metazoa; Chordata; Aves; Passeriformes; Fringillidae.
UGGGAUGAGUGUCCUGAGAAGGGAACAGAGCUGGGCAAGGCUCUGGAGCUCAAGGGAUAGGACAAGAGGGAAUGGCCCCAUGUUGUGUCUGGUGAGGUUUAGAGUGGAAACUGGGGGAAAUCUCCCCACUGGAAAGUUGGUCAGGUAUUGGGCCAGGCUGCCCAGAGGCACCAAUGCUGGAAAUGUUCAAAAGGAGUGUGGAUGCAGUGCUCAGAUAAAUGCUUCUGUGCUCUUGAAUUCACAGUUAGACUUGAUGACCUUGCAGGUCGUUCCCAACCGUAAUGAUUCUGUGAUUCUUUGGUUAAAAGGAGGUGGAAACACAAAUAGCAAAGGAUCAAUCUGCUGUUUGCAGUGCUGGGUGUGCUCUGCUUUAGGGACAGCUUUCCCCUCCCCUCCUUCCCCAAAUGAAAACUCCAAUCUAUGCUUGCCACAUUUUAGUUUUGCUCCAUUUUUACCCUAAAAAAAGUGUGUUAAUAAGCAUCUCUUUGCAGCUAGGGAGCCACUUCCAGAUGUGUUUAUCGUGAAUGUCCUUAUCCUGUGUGCCAUUUGGUCAUGCUGAGCUCAAGAGGGAGCUUGCCCUAGACCCAGCUCAGAGGAUAUUCCUGCAGGAGCCACUGCUCCGAGCAAAGUGCUGUGGCAACAUCCAGGAGAUGUCUAUUCCUGCCCUCAUCCCUGAAAUGUGUCCCUCAUAAACACAGCCAAAUAAUUUGGAUGCUUUUUCUGUGCAGAGUGGAGAGAGCUGCCGUGGGAACUUUGAGAGCUUGAGUGUCUUGUUUUGCAUGCCAAGGAAGGAAAGGAAAAGCUGAAGUGCCUGAGGUGCAUGGAAGCAUUUUGCUCUAUUCCCUGCCUUUGCUUAGUGCCACCUGUGUUUCCCCACUGCAGGCAUCACUGGACAUGAUCCCUCUGGAGGUGCUGCCAGACCAUUGAGUGCUCCAUCCCUGCCCUCCAGACACCCUCUUCCUGGAGGAAAGUCGGCAGCUUUGGGUUUAUUCCAUUUUUUCACCCAUGCCAAAGCCUAUUUAAUAUCAAGUUUGCUGUGGGUUUGUUUGGGUUUGGUCCCACAAACGCCUCUGGGGCAGGUCAGUGCAUCUCCCAAGCCACCCCUUGGCUGUGCCUUUGGAGUUUGCAAAAUUUGUGUUGUUCUGCUUGGAUAUCCCUCCCCACCUCAGUCCCAAAUGGUGGGAAGCAUCAGGGAAUGGUAUUGAUAAACAAUAGAUGUCUGGUGGAGACACUGGUGAUUUUCCUGGUACAAAAGGCUGCUGCAUCCUCUGUGAUAAUUCCCCUUUUUUCCCCUCCUUGUUGGCCUUGUGGUUUUGUGAUUUAUUUGUGGGCUGGCAGGCGUCCACAGCCCUGCAGGAAAUGGAUGUCUGCUCUUGUGUUUGGGGGGGGCCAUAGAAACGUGUAAUUUUCCCACUACAUUAAUUACAGACGUUUCUCCCUGGCUGGAGCAGCUCCACAGUUUCUCUGCCCUUUUGGUUUGUUCUCCCCAGCCCAGGCUGAGAGUAUUUAUAGGGAACCCCAGCUCUGACAUCCUCAGCUGAGCUGGGGGAAAGUUAAAGAACUUGGCCACAAAAACUGUAGAGGGGAAACUCUGGCCUUAUUUUACUUGAUAGUAACUCCAGGACAGCAGCACGGCUGAGUUUUCCCUGGGUAUUCCUCCUGCUGACAUUUUCCUCAAGGAUAGAAGUGGUUUGCCCUAAGAAAACAAAAAACAACCCUCUUGCUAUGGAAAAGAAUUGUAGGGCAAUUUACUUUGGAAUAGCUGUGCUACCUAAUUCCUGGCUCCUGGAGAGGGACCCAGCUAGACUUGGAGCAAAGAAAGGAAACCUGAGGCAAAAUCCAGUGUGGUUGAAUCAGGUUUUGUUGGAGGAAAGGCUGGACAAGCCUCUGUGAGGCCCUGGCCCAGGGUGCCUAGAGAAGCUGUGGCUGCCCCUGGGUCCCUGCAAGUGUCCAAGGCCAGGCUGGAUGGGGCUUGGAGCACCCUGGGAUAGUAGAAGGUGUCUCAGGAGUGUCAGGGGGUGAAACUGGAUGAGCUUUGAGGCCCUUUCAACCCAAACCAGUCUGGGAUUCUGUGGUCUCGGACAGCAGUGGAGUCAAAAUCAUAAUUUCCAGCAGAUUGAAUGCACCUAUGGUGUUCUUUGGCUUGUAACAUGGGUUCUCCAUGGAUUCCUGAUGAAACAGGAAUGCCCUGCUAUGAUUUUUCUCAUUUUUAUCCUGCCAGAAGUGAGGGUGAAGGAUGUGGGAUGUCUGCAAGGACAGGACAAAAACCUGAGCCAGCCUGGUGGCAUGAAACCGGGAGGGAGGUGAGAAUCUGUGAUGGGGACAUCCAGGGAUGCAGAAUUCUGGGAUGUCACCUCCCAUUUGGAGUCAUUGCCUGGCUGUGCUGCUGCUCUGGCUCUGCUGUGAUGUGUCUCAUCCUUUCUGGGGUCGGGAAUGUUCCACCUACAAAGUUUCUCCCAGGGGUCCCAGCAAACCUUUGAGUAAAUCCAUCCAGAUCCACAUUAAAUUAAGCAUUUACUGUUUUUGUCCUGCCUCAUCCUCUGUAAGCCUUGAGCACCUUCCAUGACCUCUCUCACAUUUCACUUUCAGAGUGCAGCCCACGUGUGGGCCACGAGCUCCACGAGUCAGUGUGGGCUUGUGCAGGGCUGUUGUUGCAUUCCUGUGGCUGAGGCAGCGGCUUGGGGCUGGAGACAGAGCCCUCAGGAGCUGGCUUUCCUUGGGAAAGCACCCACCUGACCAUGAGCACAGCGUGGCUGGGCCUGGACAUGCAGGCUGCUGUUACCUCUGCACCUGGUCUGGCCUCACUGAGUGGUGGAAGCUCUCCUGGUGAGGGAAGGAUGCCCUGGUGAAAUCUAUUUCAUAGAAUCACAGAA